This 1789-nucleotide long non-coding RNA is filed under the name Mus musculus (house mouse). Its description in RNAcentral is "long non-coding RNA chr16:72160201-72161990". The record is from RNAcentral. Lineage: Eukaryota; Metazoa; Chordata; Mammalia; Rodentia; Muridae.
UUAUCACAGCCCUUCUUCCAAGACUCAAGAAUCUAUUAAAAAAUAAAAUAAAAAAUAAGAGUAGGCCGAAAGAGCCAGAGGUGAAGCAAACUCAUAUCAAAUAAACUCAAAUUUAACAAAAUAGGAAAGAUCUGCCUUGUUACCAUGGGAGAAAUCCAGGUACCAACUCCAAGACCACCAACCAUCAGAGCUGCUCCUACAGCCCCUUUACAACGCAGAAUAAACAAGGAAACAGAGUUGUGAAUUUUAUAAAAAAUAGAAUAUCCUCUUGGAUGACAAUGAUGAUGCUGCACAGUCUCUCAGAUUGUUUAUAAUGAUUUAAAGUUCAAAUAUGUCACCACAUAGUCUCGCAUUUGAAAAGAUGAGAUGAGAUGAGACAGGACAGCCAUUAUAUUUUCCUUAUUAAUUUAGUGUUCAAAUCUACUUUGGUACCUUUCUUUAUGUACCUUGGAAGUUCUGAUCUUCUUGUGUGUGCAAUACCACACUGGGUUUAUAAUACACAACUUGGUCAUCAAAUGUUUGUGAGUGUAUUGCUAGAGACUGAACAUAAAGCGUAUGCAUGAUAUUAAGCAUGAAUUAUUCCACCGAGCUACAUCCCAGACAAGAGUCUUUGAUGAAUAUAAGAAUGCUAAUUGGUUAAAUGAAGAUAAUUACAAUAAAUGAUAGAAGAGCCAUUGACUUAAGUUAUGAAGUUAUUAUUUAGGCAUUAGAAAAUACAGUAAGAGCAUAUUAUAAUUUAAAUGGGCAUUUAUAAUAGGAGGAGAGCUGAAACUUAAGUUAGAGUCUGAUUAUGAAUUAAAACUAAAGACUAAAAUUCCUAAAGUAACUCAGUUUUAAUGAUAGCUGAAAUAAACCUAAAAAUUCAAACCAGAAAGCACAAAAGUAGUAAUAAGGGCUAGAAUGAUAUAUACACACCUAAGGUCCUGUUGGAAAAGAAGGGAAUUUGUAUUGUCAAUUCAGCUAAAAUGUUUUAAAUAAGUAUAUUCCAAGUAGUUUAUGAAAUUUUGAAAUAUUAACUAGAAACUCCUGACAAAUAAUGCCAAUAUUUCAUUAAUAUGUCACAAUUCCUGAAAAACUAAGUCAUGAAACAAUCUAUGAAGAGUUGUUGGAAAAAUAAACCCACUUUUGAACAAUAGACUUUUGCUCCUCUUUGUUUUGUAUCUUUGAAAUCAGUUGGAACAAGUAAGUACCACCUGGUUAGUUUCUAGCAUAGUCCCUUUCUCUGAUUAGUGUCCUCAUCACACAUCACACACAUCAAUUCACCACAGUUUAGUUGGACAUGAAUCCAGUUUAAUUGGAAUAUGAAAUCACACUGAGGCCCCAUGUUAUCCUUCACAUUGGAAUAAUUCAAGAGGACCUACUGUUAUUUUAUCAAAUCAUCAUAGCUUGCAUUUUCGAUGAUCAAAUCAUAUUAUGGUAACAAUUCAUCUGGGAAUUUAAAGUAAUAUCACUGCAGAUACUCUGAAGUAUUCUAUGAAAAUUAUGCACACACUGAGGAGGAAAUAUAAACUGGAGGAGACACUAAGCCUACCUGAAAGAAUUACUGCUGACAGCAAGAAUCCUGGAAUGUUCUGUAACCCAUUCACAAUGACAAGACUACAUCAGAAUUUUCCCUAAAGAUCUACAUUAAUACUUUAUUGUUACCCUUACAGUAUAUACCCAUUGAUAAUUUAUAACUAAGAUUAAAAUUUACACAAAAAGUAUUGAAUCCAUAUUUAGACUAUAGGCUGUUAUAUAAAUAACUUUCUAGAUCUUUAAGUCCUGUGUAACAAGUAAUAGUUUUAUCACC